Molecule: ribosomal RNA, 254 nt
Filed under: uncultured archaeon
Lineage: Archaea
Description: partial 16S ribosomal RNA
Rfam family: Archaeal small subunit ribosomal RNA
Source: RNAcentral
UACCGGCAGCUCGAGUGAUGGCCGAUUUUAUUGGGCCUAAAGCGUCCGUAGCUGGCCGCACAAGUCCAUCGGGAAAUCCACCCGCUCAACGGGUGGACGUCCGGUGGAAACUGUGUGGCUUGGGACCGGAAGGCGCGACGGGUACGUCCGGGGUAGGAGUGAAAUCCCGUAAUCCUGGACGGACCGCCGAUGGCGAAAGCACGUCGCGAGAACGGAUCCGACAGUGAGGGACGAAAGCUACGGUCUCGAACCGG